CGGCGAGUGAAGCGGCAACAGCUCAAAUUUGAAAUCUGGCCUCGGCCCGAGUUGUAAUUUGCAGAGGAAGCUUUAGGCGCGGCACCUUCUGAGUCCCCUGGAACGGGGCGCCAUAGAGGGUGAGAGCCCCGUAUAGUUGGAUGCCUAGCCUGUGUAAAGCUCCUUCGACGAGUCGAGUAGUUUGGGAAUGCUGCUCAAAAUGGGAGGUAAAUUUCUUCUAAAGCUAAAUACCGGCCAGAGACCGAUAGCGCACAAGUAGAGUGAUCGAAAGAUGAAAAGCACUUUGAAAAGAGGGUUAAAUAGCACGUGAAAUUGUUGAAAGGGAAGCGCUUGUGACCAGACUUGCGCCGGGCUGAUCAUCCGGUGUUCUCACCGGUGCACUCUGCCCGGCUCAGGCCAGCAUCGGUUCUCGCGGGGGGAUAAAGGCCCAGGGAACGUAGCUCCUCCGGGAGUGUUAUAGCCCUGGGUGUAAUGCCCUCGCGGGGACCGAGGUUCGCGCAUCUGCAAGGAUGCUGGCGUAAUGGUCACCAGCGAC
This 535-nucleotide ribosomal RNA is filed under the name fungal endophyte. Its description in RNAcentral is "eukaryotic LSU rRNA". It matches the Rfam family "Eukaryotic large subunit ribosomal RNA", at positions 87 to 648 of the family's 3401-position model. The record is from RNAcentral. Lineage: Eukaryota; Fungi.